Long non-coding RNA from Esox lucius (northern pike), 327 nucleotides. The record is from Ensembl. Lineage: Eukaryota; Metazoa; Chordata; Actinopteri; Esociformes; Esocidae.
GGAAACAGUAAUACAGAAAGACCAGCCACAUUCAAAAACCAAGGACAAAAACCAAACAGAACAGGAAAACAAGUAACCAAGGCAGAUAUCAGAUCUAGUAUGUAUUUGUUCAACAUGGAGAACUAUCUGGUACUGGUUCUCAUUUGAACCUCAGCAUAUUGCUCUGACAAUUUGAUUUUGCCGGACUGUGUAAGCGGAGCCGACCAAGAAGUGUGAAUGUAUCUUAUUGAGUGAGUGAGUGGGUACCCCAUGUAAAAUAACACAGUGGAUAGAGAAGCGGACCUGCAAACUAUAGGUCUCACGUUUGUAUCUCCUCUCAGUCAAAAC